GGACCUGUAGUAUAUUUUUAGUAUGUUUAAUUGCAGAUUAUGAGGAUGUUGGUCU
RNAcentral lists this transfer RNA (55 nucleotides) under Toxocara vitulorum. RNAcentral's name for it is "tRNA-Cys". The record is from RNAcentral. Lineage: Eukaryota; Metazoa; Nematoda; Chromadorea; Rhabditida; Toxocaridae.